Long non-coding RNA from Pseudopipra pipra, 5043 nucleotides. RefSeq lists it as uncharacterized. The transcript has 5 exons. Lineage: Eukaryota; Metazoa; Chordata; Aves; Passeriformes; Pipridae. The record is from RefSeq and is a predicted model, not a curated record.
AUAUCACCUUCCAUCCAUCUGUCUCCUCCUCCACCAACCAUCAUCAACUGUUUGAACUCCUGUGGUUACAAGAGCAAAGAUCAGGUUUGAGGAAAUGCUUAGAUGAAUAAAUGUGAGAAAGAGGUAGAAAUAUCAAAUUUUAAAACUUAAUUGAUGGUAAUUUAAAGUCUUGAAUUCUCUCCACUUCCUCCAUCCUACUUCUAAGUGCCUCUGGUCACCCUGCCUUCAUCUCUCUGCUCUCCCUUCUUUUCCUUCUCUGUUUAGUUUCUUCUCACCCUGUUAGUCUGUUAUAACCCUCAUUUGUAUACAGGGUAUUUUCCUCCCUUUUCCAGCAGUUUCUUCCCCUUGAGCACUCUCAUUUCCCUCUCCGUUGCUCCCCCCAGUUGCCCGAGAUUUUCAAUCAUCACUUCAUGGCAGUGUUCCCUGAACCUCCCCGAGCUCACACUGCUGUACCUGCCGCGGAAAGAAAAACACAUUACUUGAUUCAUUUUAGAAACGAUUUUACAGUACGUCAAGGUAAAAAGGCUUGGGGAUAUAAACAAGCUCAGAAAUGUUUCGAGAUCAGGUAGAUGUAAUUAGAACACAGGCUGUUGAUUAGAUUACUUUAUUUUGCAACAAUGGGAGUUUAAUCACGUUGGAAAUUGGUUACAGGAUUUCUUGUGGUGAUUAGGUAUUUCUAUCAUAUUUUAGUCAUCUUUAAUUACACAAAUAAAUACUAGUUGUUUACUUUUUUGGCUUACUUUUUUUCUGUCAGUGUGCAGACAGUGACUAGGCCUGCUGCUCAGCAGCCACGGUAAGUGCAACCAGCCUCCUCACGGCAUCCACAGAGAGAGGAGGAGAGAGCUCAGUUCUCUUCCUUUGAGAGAGGAUUGCUCAUUACCUGUUUCACAAUUCAUCCCUCACACUCAUCAAAGCUCUGUUUGCUUCUGUUUUAAACCUCAGACAGCAAAGGAGAAGUUAUUAUGUCCAGUUCAGGCUAUGCAGAAACAUCCUUCUUGAGCAAACCCACAAAGACAGCACCGCAGUCCCUGAGCGGCUGAAGGGAAGCUUGGGGCUCAGUUGAUGCACCAAGCGGGGUCAGAGCUGAACUUGGAUGUCACAGUAUAUCCUUCUAGAGCUCUGUGGAGAUGCUCCAGGUGCUGUAUUCCCCUGGGGAUGUGAUGACAGUGCUGAGGAAUACAUUCAGUGCAGGUGGCUCAGGGGUGCAUGUUGAGCUCUGGGUGGGAGCCCAAGACAAGAGGCUGUGAACUGCCAACCCUUUGCACGACAAAAGGCACAGGGACCACCUGUGGCACAGCCAGGUGAGGGACACCCAGAGACAAGGCAGGAGCCCGUAACUCGGGAAGAAGAGCGAGUCUGACAUACUUGGACUAGGAGAGAAAAAAAAACCCAGGGAUUCCUUUGUUCAGAGACCCUCCUCAGAGGCACCAACUCGAGCUGUUUCCCUGUUACUGCACCAUGAAUAAAUUGCUUUAUGGAAUGAGUCGUCUGACACACUAAUACAGGAAGCUUGUAGUCAAACUGAUGAGGAACCGAGGAGGCCUGACUGUGUGAGGGGGGUAUGCAGGGAGUCAAGAGGGGACCUGUUGGGUCAGUGGAGCCAAUGCCGUGAAAGGGCCUCAGUCCCAGCAGUGAAAGUCUGUGGUGCUUGGAGUGUGACUGCCUGAGAGUCUCGUGAAUGGUCACACUGGGAAGGUUCCUUAACAACAGGACUGGAGUUUAAAUGGCUGUUCCUGAACUAUGCAGUGCUGUGGUGGCAGAGCUGGCCCCGGCUCCUCUGCACUAAUCUGCUGUGCAGAUGCACACACACAGAUGCACCAUGUCCCUUUACAUAUAUAUACACAUAUAUAUACAUAUAUACACAUAUGUAUAUAGUGCUAGGCUGACAAAACUGAUAUGGGAAACAGCACAAACUUGUCAGCUUUCUUCCCUUGGCCUGUGGGGCUGCAGCCCCACUGGACUAAAAGUUGCCUGCUCCCUGGGCAGUGCACAUUAGCUCCCCGAUGGGUUCUGUAUCACCAGUUUGUUCCCAGGGGAGGGAGAGCAGAGCUGGCAGUCGCCUGCCUUCGCUGCCACAGGACAGGGCUCGUGGCAGUGGGGGAUGGCCACGUUAGGCAGAUGCAGACUGCCAUUCCCACAGGUCAGGUUUGAUACUGUGGACGCAUCAAGGUCAAAUGAGAGGAGAUAUAAACACUCCUCUUUAGGCUUCUGCAUGCAGUGUGAGAGCUUCUUGUCCUUCAGUACAACAGAGGGAGUUUAUAGGAUCCCAGGAGGCUUAAUGCACCAAGCUGGACCUGAUGAUAAUCUUACAGGAAAACAAAUUCUUUUUUUUUCUCCCAAAAGCCUUCCACUUUUUUGAGCCUCUUGGAUUGGCUUCCCUCAGCUACCUGGUCACACUGUGCCUGGACUACCACCCUUUCACAGUUUAUAUGGCACCUAAACCCUCAGAAGGCUCAGCAGACAACACUUCUAUGGCUUUAAUAAUAUAUUAUAUAAUAUAUCAUAACUAUCCUCCCAUAAUUAUUUCCCAACUGCAGAUAAAUAUUUUUUCUUUUUCUUUUUUUUUUUUUAUUCAUCUUCCUACAUCCACCCUGAUGUGUUAAAUAUGUCUUUGGUGAUGGAGGUCUGCAAGCAGUCUGCUUCAAAAGUUUAGGCUACACAUUGUCUUUAGGGAGGUGAUAAUGACUCACCAUGUACCACCAGCUCUUCAAGCUUCUCCUUCCAACAGUCUCUGCUCACAGUCCCAGUGUUUCCAGUGUUCAUCCAUUCAAAUCUUCUCUGCGAGGCAAACUGUAAACGAAAGGGAAGGGCGCUGUAACUUGAGAUAAUAUCCAGAGUGCUUGAAUUGAAACUUCUAUGAAGAAUACACACUCGUUUGUCCCCGAACAAGAAAAAAUGUGAACAUAUACAUUGUGUCUGUACCUCUGAUGUGAUAUGGGAAUCUUGGUGAUGGAGUAUCCAAGUACUGCAUGUGGUUCUUGAACUUCUGUGAGCAAGCAGAGGUGGAUAAUUCAUCCUGGCAGUUUUGAAGUGCAAUAAACACCAGGAACCUGAAAAGAGGUAAAGUUUUUCAAAUUAUUUACCGUUAAUUAUUUUUUAGUGAAGAGUACACUUAGCAUUUUAAAGAUGUAAUGAAAAUCUUAUGCUGACUGAGAAAAGCAUCUGCAUGAAAAACAAUUUCUUGUUUUCUCCCACGAUGUAUUCUUAUCUUUUAAACUUUAUCCGAUGUUGUUCCUGACCUUCAUAUUUUUGCAAGCCAACAGUUACUAUUCAUGGCAUUUUCCAUCAGAUUUGUUCGCUGUUAUGUAUUGCUUCUAAAAUUACAGGUCUCGUCCAGUUUUAAUUUUUUUUUCAUUGUCACCAAUAGUAUUAAAGAUUGUGUCAUGACUGGGCACCAAAAGUAUUUGCAAUGCUGUGGAAAGGAGAAAUAAGCUUGUUAAAAAAAAAAAUCACAUCCUGAUUUAACGCUUUUAUAAUAUUCCUCUAUUUUUAAUAGGAAGUGGGACAACCUGCAAUACAGAUUUCAUAGCUUUUAAACACUAAUUUACUCUUGAUACUUUUUUCCCCCCAAUUUGCCACAACAAGAUAAUUGUACUGACUGUGCAAUGGUGAGUGAGAAAAGAUUACAAUGUGUAGCAUCCCAGUGUUUUUGACAGCCUGAUGUAUUGCAGCUUGAAACAUGUGAGUCCUUUCAGUGUUAUUCUCUCAUGCUCAUUAAAACUGAAAACAGGGUUUUGGAGUCUGACACUGCUUUUCCUGCCUGUUUCCAAGGAAGAGCAGAAAUAAGCCAUUUGCACUGGUGACACAGGUCCCAUUCACAUGUUCAUACUUGUGACCAAGGGGCUAAUUUCCUGUUUCAGUUUCAUUCUCAUUUUCAGCCUGAGGCUGAAGGGAAAUGAUGACGGAGAUGGCUAAGUGGCACCUCAAGCAUAUCUGUGCAAUCACACGACAGCAUUCUGUGCUGACUACAAGUAAGGGCAAUACCUGGCUCUGCAACCAUUAGUUCUGUGAGAUGCUAACCAAGGAGAAGGAAUCACGUGUGUUUAGUGAAGAAGAUCAAGUCCAAUAGUUUUUGUUUAAUAUGAGCUUUGAACACACUCCCCAGUGCAACCUGAGCUUUCUGUCACCAGCUCAGCUGUUAUGUGGCUCUUGUCCCUUUUGCAAGUUGUCAGGUAGAAACACAAGGAGUAGGGAGAGAAAGCAUUUGGCUUCUUUCUUCGGAAGAGAGUUAGGAUGUUCUAGAGUCAAGCUUCUUAUUUAGGGCAAACAAAGCCCCUUUAGACUUAGCCAUCAGAAUACAGAGAAACAGCAUUAUUGGUGGGGUUUCUGCUAAGAGACUGAGCCCUGAGCAGUUGCUCAAAAACAGGUAACUUGUUUCAUAACAACUCAUUUCCUCUCUUUAUGGAAAUAUAUCUUGAGUUUUGGUAGAAUUCAGACCAUGUCCUGCCUUCUUCCCCAUGAAUCACCAUGGAUAACAGAGCAGGAAGCUUCAUAUAAGAGAGAGGAACGGGUCACGCAGCAAAAAUAUCGGUCCUGGAAAGAAAAGGAUAUUCCUGUCAAGUAUUUAAACAAUAUAUGCCCCUUUUUUUUCUUAAAAGGGGAAAAAUAGGUGUUAAUAAUUCUGUCAUGUGCCUUAGGAUCUCUGGGUUGACACUUGACAUUUGCCUUGUGUUGCUCACAUACCCCUGUGGGCAUAAAGGUUUGAUUAGGACUAUGGUAGUUUAGCAGAACACGGUGAAAGGUGGAUUAUCAUUCCAGCAGAGAAAUGCCUCAGCAAGUCAAUCUGACUUUUGUUCUUUGACUUUACUAUCUAUUUACUAUCUAUAUCUAUUGUAUACUAGUCAAACCAACUUUUUAGAUUUAAUAGGACAGUCUCUUCACUUUGUGAAAGUUGCAGUUCACUGGGCAUUAUUCCAAAAAGCAUCCAUUUCCAGCACUUUCAGGGUCAAACCGUUCUUUGCAUCUCUGGUUUACAUUAAGAUUGCACUGUAGCCAUUAUCCUUUGAAAACUAAAGACAAAGUAGAAGUGGCUUUUCCCUCUCA